UUAAAAUUGAUUAAGUUAUUUGAAAAAAAUAUAUAGUUUAAAAAAACUAAGAAAACAUGCUUUUAAAGCACAUCAAACUAAAAAGUUAGAAAUAAUUUUUAGUUCGAUAUGCUUUAAAAGCGUNGUUUUUUAGUUUUUUUAAACUAUAUUUAUUUUUCACUUUUUAGUUUCAUGUUAUGAUAGUAGUUACUAUCAAUAUCAUGGUUGUAACGGGUAACGGGAAAUCAGGGUUCGAUUCCGGGGAGGGUGUCUGAGAAACGGCUGCCACAUCCGAGGAAAGCAGCAGGCGCGUAAUUUACCCACUCCCGGAACAUGGAGGUAGUGAUGAAAAAUGACGAUACUGGAUUCAUCCUUUGUAAUCGGAAUGAAUGAGUUCUAUAUCAUUAAAUAAGAAUAAACGCUAUUACAACACAUCAAAGUCAUUAGAAGCCUCCAAAAAUGCAUUGGUUUCUUAACCAUGAGUACAAAAAGAUAAAUGGUAAGAAUAUCUCCUGAGAUGGGAAUGUCCAUGAU
This is a long non-coding RNA of Daktulosphaira vitifoliae (grape phylloxera), 513 nucleotides long. RefSeq lists it as uncharacterized. The record is from RefSeq and is a predicted model, not a curated record. NCBI's taxonomy places the organism in Eukaryota, Metazoa, Arthropoda, Insecta, Hemiptera, Phylloxeridae. The transcript has 3 exons.